AUAAGCUUGCUCUUUUGCUGACGAGUGGCGCACGGGUGCGUAACGCGUAUACAAUCUGCCUUCAAGCGGGGGAUAGCCCAUGGAAACGUGGAUUAAUACCCCAUGGUAUUAUGAUUUCACCUGGAAUUAUAAUUAAACAUUUAUGGCUUGAAGAUGAGUAUGCGUCCUAUUAGCUAGAUGGAGUGGUAACGGCACCCCAUGGCGACGAUAGGUAGGGGUCCUGAGAGGGAGAUCCCCCACACUGGUACUGAGACACGGACCAGACUCCUACGGGAGGCAGCAGUGAGGAAUAUUGGACAAUGGAGGCAACUCUGAUCCAGCCAUGCCGCGUGCAGGAAGACUGCCCUAUGGGUUGUAAACUGCUUUUAUACAGGAAGAAACCUUCUCACGUGUGGGGAGCUGACGGUACUGUAUGAAUAAGGAUCGGCUAACUCCGUGCCAGCAGCCGCGGUAAUACGGAGGAUCCAAGCGUUAUCCGGAAUCAUUGGGUUUAAAGGGUCCGUAGGCGGGUUUAUAAGUCAGUGGUGAAAGUCUGUCGCUUAACGAUAGAAUUGCCAUUGAUACUGUAGAUCUUGAAUUAUUAUGAAGUGGUUGGAAUGAGANGUGUAGCCGGUGAAAUGCAUAGAUAUUACUCAGAACACCUAUUGCGAAGGCAGAUCACUAAUAAUAUAUUGACGCUGAUGGACGAAAGCGUAGGUAGCGAACAGGAUUAGAUACCCUGGUAGUCUACGCCGUAAACGAUGGUCACUAGCUGUCCGGCCUAAUUGAGGGCUGGGUGGCCAAGCGAAAGUGAUAAGUGACC
This 802-nucleotide ribosomal RNA is filed under the name Oceanobacillus sp. RNAcentral describes it as "bacterial SSU rRNA". It matches the Rfam family "Bacterial small subunit ribosomal RNA", at positions 73 to 869 of the family's 1533-position model. Lineage: Bacteria; Bacillati; Bacillota; Bacilli; Caryophanales; Bacillaceae. The record is from RNAcentral.